UUCCGGUUGAUCCUGCCGGACCUGACUGCUAUCGGAUUGAUACUAAGCCAUGCGAGUCAUUGUAGCAAUACAAGGCAUACGGCUCAGUAACGCGUAGUCAACCUACCCUAUGGACGGAAAUAACCUCGGGAAACUGAGAAUAAUAUCCGAUAGAACAUUAUGCCUGGAAUGGUUUAUGUUCCAAAUGAUUUAUCGCCGUAGGAUGGGACUGCGGCCUAUCAGUUUGUUGGUGAGGUAAUGGCCCACCAAGACUAUUACAGGUACGGGCUCUGAGAGGAGUAGCCCGGAGAUGGGUACUGAGACACGGACCCAGGCCCUAUGGGGCGCAGCAGGCGAGAAAACUUUGCAAUGUGCGAAAGCACGACAAGGUUAAUCCGAGUGAUUUCUGCUAAAGAAAUCUUUUGUUAGUCCUAGAAACACUAACGAAUAAGGGGUGGGCAAGUUCUGGUGUCAGCCGCCGCGGUAAAACCAGCACCUCAAGUGGUCAGGAUGAUUAUUGGGCCUAAAGCAUCCGUAGCCGGCUCUGUAAGUCCUCGGUUAAAUCUGUACGCUUAACGUACAGGCUGCCGGGAAUACUGCAUAGCUAGGGAGUGGGAGAGGUAGACGGUACUCGGUAGGAAGGGGUAAAAUCCUUUGAUCUAUUGAUGACCACCUGUGGCGAAGGCAGUCUACCAGAACACGUCCGACGGUGAGGGAUGAAAGCUGGGGGAGCAAACCGGAUUAGAUACCCGGGUAGUCCCAGCUGUAAACUAUGCAAACUCAGUGAUGCAUUGGCUUGUGGCCAAUGCAGUGCUGCAAGGAAGCCGUUAAGUUUGCCGCCUGGGAAGUACGUACGCAAGUAUGAAACUUAAAGGAAUUGGCAAGGAGCACCACAA
Molecule: ribosomal RNA, 875 nt
Filed under: uncultured Nitrososphaerota archaeon
Lineage: Archaea; Thermoproteati; Nitrososphaerota
Description: bacterial SSU rRNA
Rfam family: Archaeal small subunit ribosomal RNA
Source: RNAcentral